CGUUAAGAAGCUAAAAUGGUAACAGCGUUAGCCUUUUAAGCUAGAGAUUGGUGCUCACCAACCACCCUUAACGA
RNAcentral lists this transfer RNA (74 nucleotides) under Dactyloptena tiltoni (plain helmet gurnard). RNAcentral's name for it is "tRNA-Lys". It matches the Rfam family "tRNA". Rfam says of the family: Transfer RNA (tRNA) molecules are approximately 80 nucleotides in length. Their secondary structure includes four short double-helical elements and three loops (D, anti-codon, and T loops). Lineage: Eukaryota; Metazoa; Chordata; Actinopteri; Syngnathiformes; Dactylopteridae. The record is from RNAcentral.